UUGCCCCCACCUAUACUAAAAUUGGAAUGAUACCAAGCAGAUUAGUAUGGCCCCUGAACAAAGCAUAAUAAGGAAAUUCAUGAAACCUUAGAAAAAAAU
Molecule: small nuclear RNA, 99 nt
Filed under: Mesocricetus auratus (golden hamster)
Lineage: Eukaryota; Metazoa; Chordata; Mammalia; Rodentia; Cricetidae
Source: RNAcentral